Long non-coding RNA from Harmonia axyridis, 268 nucleotides. RefSeq lists it as uncharacterized. The record is from RefSeq and is a predicted model, not a curated record. The transcript is spliced from 3 exons. Lineage: Eukaryota; Metazoa; Arthropoda; Insecta; Coleoptera; Coccinellidae.
UUAAUUCCAUCCCAUUAAGAAUAAUCAUUUUGCUGCCUAGGCAGUUACCUACUUUUGAUCAUAGAUUGAAGAGAUUCCUAAACCCCGCCUACCAAUCGAUGAUUGUUGGUGCACUGCAGUAUUAUUCAUCUAUGAGACUGAUUUGCAAAAAUAAGAGACUCACAUGAAUCAAUCAAUUUCUCUCCAGAUAGUCGUUUUUAAGAUUUAUUAUGUCUCAUCUGUCAAUUGUUAACAGUGCUUAUGAAAAUGAGAGGCAUCGAAGUUCUAG